RNAcentral lists this ribosomal RNA (468 nucleotides) under uncultured bacterium. RNAcentral's name for it is "partial 16S ribosomal RNA". It matches the Rfam family "Bacterial small subunit ribosomal RNA", at positions 28 to 507 of the family's 1533-position model. The record is from RNAcentral.
GACGAACGCUGGCGGCGUGCUUAACACAUGCAAGUCGAACGGAAAGACGCGGAGUUUGCGGGGCGCUCGAGAGGCGAAGAGGGGAGUAACACGCGAGUAACCCGCACCUGACUUUGGGAGAACUUUAGGGAACAGGGGCGAAUACAGGAUAGGAGCUCCUGCAGCACGGGGGGGGUUGGAAAGAGACGGCGGUGGGGGCUGGACUCGCAGCUUAUCAGCUUGUUGGGGGAGUAGUGGCUGACCAAGUGUAUGACGGGUAGGCGGCCUGAGAGGUUGACCGGCCACCUUGGGCCUGAGGUACGGCCCAGACUCCUACGGUACGCAGCAGUGGGGAAUCUUGCGGAAUGGGCGGACGCCUGUUGCGGCAGUGCCGCGUGCGGGAUGCCCGCCUUCGAGUUGUAAACCACUUUCGACUGUGCCGUAGCCUGCGUGACGGUAAUGGGUCAGGAAGCCCCGGCUAACUACGUG